UGAGCUUCCCAAAGAGGUUUUUGAUUACUUGUCUUAACUCAUUGCUGCGAGAGGAUAUGGAAAUACCGGGAGUCCGUCCGUCCAGUCUUGUUAGCGCUGUCAUUUGUACAAUCUGCCAGAUUUUUGUGAAACUGAUAUCAUCAUGCAGCAAUGUCUUUCACAUAUGCGAGUAUAAAUCCUGAUCAAAUAUUUUUAACCAAUACAUGCCCCUUGGAAAUAUACUUAUAACGCAAUCUCAUUGUUUUGUUUGGAAGCUUUUUCUCUCGAGAUAUAAAUUUAAAAAAAGAAAAAGUGCUUUGUUUAGUUUUUGCCCUCUUGUACAUAAAAAUGUAUCUUGGAUGCGGGGGACAUUGGAUCUCUGAUCUUUUAUUGAAAACAACAUUAAUAUUUGUACCUAGACGGAAAAGGGUAUUUGUGAAUCCUGGAAUAAAAUAACUUCGUUACAAAUAGAGUCGUCGUCUUUCGUGCCAAAGAAAAAAGUAAAAUCACAAAAAUACUGAACUCCAAGGAAAAUUCAAAAAGGAAAGUCCCCAAUCAAAUGGGGAAAACGAUAUUAAGAUAUGAUGUUUCAGAUUUUUUUAUCCAUCUUGUUUACAUAAAGGAAAAACCACGCAUACGGCUUCGGAAAUGAUUGGAAGCUAUUCUCAUAUUCUCAUAGACAUUCGGAUACCAUCAUGUGUAUAUGCUGUCAACUGUCAUUAUAUAAUUAUUAAAGAAAAAACAUUUUUUUUGUCAAAUUGAUGUGGAUGCUUGAGCAUCUGAGCAUACAUGCAAGCUACGCCACUGUGGAGAGUUGUCUCAUUGGCACUCAUACCACAUCUUUCUAUAUCUAUUGACACAUCUGUGUCAUCUCUGCUAUCGUUCACUAAAGUAUCGUCAUUUGAGCUUUAUGGACCAGCAAAAGGUUGUAAAGGUUGGACUGGUUGGUCCGAAAUAUCUGCUUGAUUAGGAUUCGUUACUAUCAGAGCUCCCUCUGCCUCUACAUUAACCAUACCACCACGCCCACGUGUUCUAGAAGAUUUUUGUGGUAUGACUGUGUUGUUUCCGAAAAAUCUAUGUAUUAAUCAUAAAUAGAAGGAAGGGAAUUGUAUUGAUAUGGAACACGAUGUUGACGUUAUUACUGUAAACGUAGUAAGAUCGCGAUAUGAACGUAGUAUUAUCGUGGUAAGAACGAACUAUAAUUGCAGUAGAAGCGUGGUAAGAUCGUGUUGCAAUCG
RNAcentral lists this long non-coding RNA (1217 nucleotides) under Mytilus galloprovincialis (Mediterranean mussel). The record is from RNAcentral. Lineage: Eukaryota; Metazoa; Mollusca; Bivalvia; Mytilida; Mytilidae.